CAGGGAAAAAGGUUAUAAGAGCUAAUACUUUUUAUAGUUUGAUGGUACCUGCAGAGGAAGCACCGUCUAACUACGUGCCAGCAGCCGCGGUAAUACGUAGGGUGCAAGCGUUAUUCGGAAUCACUGGGCGUAAAGGGCGCGCAGGCGGUCUUGUAAGUCUAAAGUGAAAUCCUUGGGCUUAACCCAUGGGCUGCUUUAGAUACUGCAAAACUCGAGUUCGGGAAAAGCAAGCGGAAUUCCUGGUGAAGGGGUGAAAUCCGUAGAUAUCAGGAAGAACACCAGUGGCGAAAGCGGCUUGCUAAAACGCAACUGACCCUUAGGCGCGAAAGCGUGGGGAGCAAACAGGAUUAGAUACCCUGGUAGUCCACGCCCUAAACGAUGGAUGUUAGGCGUUGGGAAUUACACUUCUCAGUGCCGUAAGCUAACGCGUUAAACAUCCCGCCUGGGGAGUAC
This 453-nucleotide ribosomal RNA is filed under the name uncultured Desulfurella sp. RNAcentral's name for it is "bacterial SSU rRNA". It matches the Rfam family "Bacterial small subunit ribosomal RNA", at positions 440 to 883 of the family's 1533-position model. The record is from RNAcentral. Lineage: Bacteria; Pseudomonadati; Campylobacterota; Desulfurellia; Desulfurellales; Desulfurellaceae.